RNAcentral lists this ribosomal RNA (433 nucleotides) under uncultured bacterium. RNAcentral describes it as "partial 16S ribosomal RNA". It matches the Rfam family "Bacterial small subunit ribosomal RNA", at positions 29 to 507 of the family's 1533-position model. The record is from RNAcentral.
AAUGAACGCUGGCGGCAUGCCUAACACAUGCAAGUCGAACGAGACCCUCGGAACUACUGGCGCUUGGGGGUGUAAAGCGUGGGAACCUGCCCUAAUGCUCGGAAUAAUUCCUUGAAAGGGGUGCUAACGCCGGUAAAUGUCUUCGGACCAAAGAUGUAUCGCCUUUGGAUGGGCCCGCGUUGGAUUAGCUAGUUGGUAGGGUAAAAGCCUACCAAGGCGACGAUCCAUAGCUGGUCUGAGAGGAUGAUCAGCCACACUGGGACUGAGACACGGCCCAGACGACUCUCUGAGGCACUAGAGUGUGAUACUGGAUCAGCGUGGACGGACAGAAACAGUGAUGGCUGGUGAGAGAUGAAGGCAUUAGCGUAAUACAGCAGUUUUAGCCGUUGUUAUAGUGACAGUACCAAGAGAAUAAGCUCCGGCUAACUUUGUG